RNAcentral lists this ribosomal RNA (820 nucleotides) under Clostridium botulinum. RNAcentral describes it as "partial 23S ribosomal RNA". It matches the Rfam family "Bacterial large subunit ribosomal RNA", at positions 1447 to 2281 of the family's 2925-position model. Lineage: Bacteria; Bacillati; Bacillota; Clostridia; Eubacteriales; Clostridiaceae. The record is from RNAcentral.
CCUAUUUACGUUUGAGAAAUGGGGUGACGCAGUAGGAUAAGAUGUGCGCACUAUUGGAUGUGCGUCUAAGCACUUAGGCAUGCUUGAUAGGCAAAUCCGUCGAGCUAAGCUGAGGUGUGAUGGGGAGCCAUUUAUGGCGAAGUAUCUGAUUCCACACUGCCAAGAAAAGCCUCUAUCGAGUGAAUAGGUGCCCGUACCGCAAACCGACACAGGUAGGUGAGGAGAGAAUCCUAAGGCCAUCGGAAGAAUUGCUGUUAAGGAACUCGGCAAAUUGACCCCGUAACUUCGGGAGAAGGGGUGCCUACGAAAGUAGGCCGCAGAGAAUAGGCCCAAGCAACUGUUUAGCAAAAACACAGGUCUCUGCUAAAGCGAAAGCUGAUGUAUAGGGGCUGACGCCUGCCCGGUGCUGGAAGGUUAAGGGGAACACUUAGCGUAAGCGAAGGUGUGAACUUAAGCCCCAGUAAACGGCGGCCGUAACUAUAACGGUCCUAAGGUAGCGAAAUUCCUUGUCGGGUAAGUUCCGACCCGCACGAAUGGCGUAAUGAUUUGGGCACUGUCUCAACAGCAAAUCCGGCGAAAUUGUAGUGCAAGUGAAGAUGCUUGCUACCCGCGAUUGGACGGAAAGACCCCGUAGAGCUUUACUGUAGCUUAGCAUUGAAUCUCGGUAUUGUCUGUACAGGAUAGGUGGGAGACUUGGAAACUUGGGCGUCAGCCUGAGUGGAGUCAUCCUUGGGAUACCACCCUGACAGUACUGGGGUUCUAACCGGCGGCCAUGAAUCUGGUCACGGGACAUUGUUAGGUGGGCAGUUUGACUGGGGCG